This 508-nucleotide ribosomal RNA is filed under the name uncultured bacterium. RNAcentral describes it as "partial 16S ribosomal RNA". It matches the Rfam family "Bacterial small subunit ribosomal RNA", at positions 30 to 523 of the family's 1533-position model. The record is from RNAcentral.
AUUGAACGCUGGCGGCAUGCCUUACACAUGCAAGUCGAACGGCAGCGGGGGAGAAGCUUGCUUUUCCUGCCGGCGAGUGGCGAACGGGUGAGUAAUACAUCGGAACGUGCCCUGUAGUGGGGGAUAACUAGUCGAAAGAUUAGCUAAUACCGCAUACGACCUGAGGGUGAAAGUGGGGGACCGCAAGGCCUCAUGCUAUAGGAGCGGCCGAUGUCUGAUUAGCGAGUUGGUGGGGUAAAGGCCUACCAAGGGGACGAUCAGUAGCUGGUCUGAGAGGACGAUCAGCCACACUGGGACUGAGACACGGCCCAGACUCCUACGGGAGGCAGCAGUGGGGAAUUUUGGACAAUGGGCGAAAGCCUGAUUCAGCAAUGCCGCGUGUGUGAAGAAGGCCUUCGGGUUGUAAAGCACUUUUGUCCGGAAAGAAAUGGCUCUGGUUAAUACCUGGGGUCGAUGACGGUACCGGAAGAAUAAGGACCGGCUAACUACGUGCCAGCAGCCGCAGUAA